UGAAUAGUAUAUUAAAACUCUUUGACAAUAACACUACUAUUCAGUACUUGUGUGGUACAAGUAAUGGAAUAAAUUGAAUUCUCUGAUAAAUAAUUAGACCAAUUUCAGAUAAACAGAGCUUUUGAUAGCCAUUUGGACUCUCAAGGGAUGAUUAACAGAUAUACAAGUGUGGUUGUAUAAGCUAUUAACAUUCGAAAUACUCCUAGAAUUCUAAAUUGAAGGGAGUGUCACUUCCAAAUGAAUCCAUUGCGAUUCUGCAUGAGGACCUGAGACAAUCAAAGUGUCAGUUGCAGGUCGUGCUUUCCAAAUUGGCACACAAGAACAGAAGCCAAUUCUUGGCAGUUUAUAUAGCCCUUCUGCCCAAAUUAAGAGUUUCAUUUGAAAUUUACUUCAAUAAAAUAACUUAAAACCUCGUAAAGAACUGAUCUUGGAAGAUACCCACAUAGAUUUGAGAAGAAAACAACUUCUUCUGACAUAAGCGUGAAAACAAACGGAAAAAGUUUUGCUCUUGGUAUCACAAAAAAUGCUUAGUCAAAGCAGAACUGAAAAUAUAACUUGGAGAUGCUUCACUAAAUCACCAUUCACAUGACUAUUAGAAAUAGGAAAAGAUUACAAAUAGCUUCUUCCAUGCAGUGCAAAGGUAGUUCAUACAAGCAUAUUAUCAAACACCAUUCGUACAAUAUCGAGCAAAUUGGAUAAAGUUACUGACAUGUAUGUAAAAAUCCAAUAGCAUACUAUCCAGAAGAACAUAGCCUGUAGCUGAUACCCACCAAUACCAAAACUACACUAGAAAUAACAAAUUAAAUUAAAUGAACACUACAAGAAAAGAGGUUUUUAGCGGCAAUUAUUUAGUGGAAAUAAGUUAAUUGUUGCUAAUGUAUUCUGUAUAGGCCAAUGUUAGCAGCAAUUGGACAUUUGCCGAGAAUAAACACUUAUUACCGGCAAUUAAGAAAAAUUGCCACUAAAGCUUGCGUCUUUUACUAUAAUACUAAGGGGUCAUUUGGUAGGAUGCAUUGGAUAAUCUAAUGCAUGCAUUAACUUUGUGUAUUAAUAAUACAUUGUUUGGUAGACAUUUUGACUCUAUACAUUAGUUAUGCAAGCAUUAGUUAUACAUCCUAUUUGGUAUUAUCCUAUGCAUAACUAAUGCAUAGAAAAUAAUGGUAUUAGCAAUCAAUGCAAUGGGUUUUAAUGCAUGCAUCAGCUUAGUUAAAGACAAAAUUGUCCUUCAAAAUUUAUGCUUGAUUAAAAUAUGCUAGUAAGUAUAUUAAUGCAAGUUCAAAAUAAUCCAAAUAGUGAAAAAUAAAAUUAUAUCCCUAGUAAAUAAAUAAAUACUUAACAUAUUUCCUUUUUUUAUAAAUAAAUAUUUUAUUUUAUUUUACAAUAUAGGUAGACAAAUAAAAUAAUUUUUUUAAACUUUUUCAUAUAAAAACAUUUCUCAACAUAUGUUUCUUUUAAAAAGUUAGAGUGUGGACUAGUUUUGAGGGCAUUUUGUAAACAAAUAGUUCUUUUAGAAACUGUGCAAUGCUUUACAGCAUCAAACCAAACAAUGAAUAAGAAAUAUGUCAGCAUAAAUAAUACCAGCAUAACUAAUGCAAGCAUAACUAAUACCAGCAUUACUAAUACACCCUAUUCAGUAUUAUUCUUAUGCACCCUACCAAACGACCCCUAAGAAGUCCAAGAGCGGCAUUUUCUUUCACACUCCCUCCAAAUUGUUUUUCAUUUCCCUCCUUCAUUUUUGUAUUUUUUUCAUCAAGAACCUAGAGGAAUGGAAAAAUUAAAAUCAAUUGGAAUCCUAACACCCAACAUUCAUCUCUAUGUCCAGUUGGAUCGAUUACUCUGGUAUGUCAUCAUCAACUUAAUCUUCUUUUUCUUUUGAUUGCUACUAGAUAAAGAUCCAUUAUUUCCCUAAUAAAUUAAUGAAGAACAUCAAAAUAGUUUGAGUCUCUCUUGUUGUUGCAUAGUUUUUGUUGCUUUUUCUUAUUCAUCGUCACUCGUUAAUGAGAUACGAACCACUAGGCAUGCUUUUUCCUUUGAAAUUGAAGAAGCCAAAAGUUGUGCCUACGAGCUCAAGGUACCUUCUAAUCUCUUUAUUUUAUUUAUUCUGAUAAAUUGCAAGUAUCUAUUAGGAAUUUUUUCCAAAUAAUUUUUUGCAUCAGGUGCUUUGUGAACUAUUAUUAAUUUCUGGAGAAUUUAUUUUUAUUUUAUUUUGUAGUCAUGUUCUUUUGGCCAUUGAAAUUAUUUGUAUCCAGAGAAUGAAAUUUACUCUCUGCAUACUACAGAUCUGAACAGUAAAAAUAAAUCUUGAGAAAUUGUAGGUAAAAAAAGUAGUAAGAAAGAAAUCUUCAAAAUGUUUGUGGAUACAAAGAACUUUGGAUAUGUAGUUGCUCUGAAUAGUCCAAAUUUAAUUGUUGCUAACUAAAUAUACAGAUAAAAGAAAUGAGAAAAGAUAAAUAAGUUAUUUUAAUCCGAUAAGUACCGAAAGAAUCGAAUACGCAGACCAAAAAGAUAGUGUUGAUCCCUUAAGUAAUAUUACUCUAGCCAUGUGAAUCGGGCUAUAAUUUUCAAUUUUCUCUUUUGAUGAAUUACCUAUUAAAACUACUUUCUUCAAACAAGGUGUUAUUGGAUAGUUUCAUAUGAAUUCUUUAUAUUAGCGGAUAAACAAAUGAAAACCCAAAAGACGUCAUGCUUUUAUCUAUAGCUUAUCAAGAGGUUUUUGGAUAGCUGUAUUAGCAUUAUGUUCAAUCUUUUUAUUACCCCUCUAUAAUAAAUUAAUAUUCUAGAAGUCAGGUAUGCACAAAUGUACUUUGUUAUAAUUGGCUUUCUGAAUUAAUGUAGCUCUCAAGAGAGUAAGGACUGAAAAUAGUGAGAAUUUUAUUAUCGUGAUCAGUAAUAUGCUGCUCUGUUUCCCUUGCACAAAUAGAUCAGAAACUAUUACAAGGUACUAGGGAAGCCAAAUGUAGUACAGUGCAAAAGUUAAAAUACUAAUCCUAUUCUACUAGAUUUUCGCUAUACUUGAAAACUUAAAAGAUUUAUUUUCUAUCCACAAUGUCGUUGUUGCAGUAGUUGGAUAAGUUCCUGCUACUGAGCAUUACUUUGUUCAUCUUCAAUGGGAUUAGUUUAUUGUAAAUUUGUCUUCUUCUACUUCUCUUUAAUAUUCUUAUGUCUAUAUCAUUAAGAUGAUGUUCGAUAGAGUAAAAUUAGUUUUUAACAUCUAACUUGAUAUCAGCACAGAGUUUGGUGGAGAUUUUCUUAAGCCCACAUUGGAGGCAGGUUUAUACAUUGUAAUAUGUCUACUUGUUUCCUAAUAUAUUGAUAUAUACUAGGUUCUCGAGGCAAAAGGCAGCCAUGCACAACCGACAUAAACACCAUGAAUGCCAUUUCAAAGUAAAGAUUACUUUUCUUUUUUCAUAUUUGAAUGUAUGUUUUUCAUCUCCAUUCUGCAACUUGCUAUUUCUGCAAUAUCCAUGGUAGUUGUUAGAUCCUUCUUUUCAGGCAUGCUGCUAGUUUGUUAGUAUAGCAAUGUUAAUAAAUUCUCAUAGUUCUAGAUUAUCUUAAACUUCUAAAUGCUUUAAUGUGAUUGGAGACAUGAUGUAAUAUGUUGGUGAAUGAAAUCUAAGUUGCGUAUUUUUUCUCUUCUUUUCUUUAUUCACUUUCAUUUACAUUUCAUUUGUGCCUUGUUUUUCAUUCUAUUAUUCAUUUUUGUCCUACUUGAGUUUGAUCAGUAGCAUUUGCAGAAUUGAGUUUGUCCGGCAUGCCCCUAGAGAUGUGAACAAACUUUUUGGGUAAUUAAUUUCAGAUAGAUAUUCCUCCCUCGAUCAUAUAUUCAUACAUGUGUAUUAUAUUGUAUAUUGUCCUUUUAUCUUCCGGUUCUUGAAUUUAAUUGCUCGGAUUCAUUGGUGUAUCAAAUAUAUAGGAAUGUAUAUUUUGAUUCUAGUUAUGAAGAUUAUGAGAUGGUCCAGUACCCAAGGUGAGAAAGAUCACAGGUGCCAAAGCUACUAUUUCUUCUCCUAGUUCGACUCCAAUAGAUAUCAAGUAUCAAAGGGAGAAGCACAAAGGGAGUGGACAUGCUUCUGAUAGAGGAAUCUAUGAGAAAAUCAAAGUUGGAUGCACAGACACCUCUUAACCUCAUUCAAGUGGUAAAAAGAAAACAUAUGGGGAAGAUGCCAUUAAGGUAUAUGAGUGCUUUACUUUGCUUCCAACUUUUUAUAUAUUCGAUCAGUGUCUAUGGUUCUAGUGACAUCUUACUUUGCCUUGAAAUUAAGAAUAAUUUCUAUUGAAAAAGUAGAAACUCAUUUUUAUGUCAUCCUUGAACAAUUUGUAUAUAAUGGGGAUCAUCUACUACCUCCCUAGUUAACUUUUAAGUAAAACUUGUUUAAAUUACUCUUUAAUUGUCUCAAAGAAAGAAAGCAAAAUUUGAUAGUAUCUGUAUUUGUCUAAUAAGGCAAUAUCUUCUGAAAGAAAAGAUUUCGAAAGGUCGAAUAAGAAAAAGUUGUAUAUAAACUAUCAGUAUUUGUUUACCAGCAAGCAUAAAAAUUUAUACACCAAACAUACAUCAAGCAUUGUAUUCUAUUGACCGAACAUAAGUAAAUUAAUAAAGUAUAAAAAACCAAGUAAUGUCAUUUAUCUUAUAGGCUGGACAACUAAAAACAUAAAUUUUAUUAUAUUGUUAGCAUGGUCCAGAUUCAGUUUAGAUUUUUACCAUUUCAUGUAAUUGUAGUGGAACGGCGACACGAGCAAGUGGUCUUGUAAGUCUAAAGUACAAAAGUAAGUAGUUUGUGAAAAAUCAAGUUGAAAGAGCUACUUGCCACAUAGUAUAGAUUGUUAGGAUCCUUAUAUAUUGACCUUAUGCUAUUAAUUGAAAUUUGUUUAAGGUUUUUUAUUUAUUUUUCCCUCUGUGUUGGCUUAAAAUUUUGCAUGCAUAACAUAUAAGUGAAUGAGGAACAUAUGCUUUGAUAGUUGAUACUAACCAAACUCUUCAGUACAUGCUUUGUUGCAAAAUUCCAGAAGUUUCUCUGGUAUUGCUUAAAGCAAUUUUAUGGUUAUCAGGUUUAAAGUAGUUGUGCAAUUAUCACAGUCAUAGCUUACCACUACAACAAAAGAAAUACUAAUUUUAUACUUUAAUUUGUUUCCUGUAAAGGUACUACAUUAUGAAAGGCAUAUAGCUUUGGAGACUAGUGGCGUGGUAUAUAUGGUAUGUGAAGCCAGACAACUAUUCUUUGAAUAGUAAGGCAAAGAUUAAAUAGUUAUUCAGAUAAUCUGGCACGUGGAAGAUUUCAUCAUGAUCAAGAGUUGGAAAGACUUUAAUGGCAUCAUUUAUUGUAUAGUAUUGUAGCAAUUUGAUAAUGCCAGUUAGUAGACAGUAAAUCAUACUAGUUAUUAGAUUCAAAUAGUUUACCUUUUUGGAUAUGUUGUUGAUACUUUGAAACUAUGGAUUUGUAUAUUUUGUUGUGAAUUUAAUGAAGUGUAUUAAACUUUUUGAAAAUGAAUCUUAUUCUUAUUAUAAUUGAAUUUGAAUUUGAAUAAUGUGCAUUACAGGUUAUGAAAGAAACUUUUCUUAAUUCUUACUAGCAAUAAGAAAGUUCGUUAAGAAGGCAAUCAGAUGGGUUUUACUGCCUAUAACAAAAGCUUUUAAAUAUAUAAACAAAGACCAAUUCAUAGAUAGUUGUAGCGACAAUUAUAUCUAUCGCUAAAAGAACACUUUUUACUAGCAAUUGAGUAGGUCUUUACCAACAAUAACAAAAGCCAUAAAAUGUAUGAUGUUCGAUAUCAUAGGGGAGUUUCAGUAACCAUUUUAAUUACCAGUAAAUAAUUGCCGCUAAAACUCAUGUACGUUUAGCGGCAAUAAAAGGGAUCUUUACCAGCACUUCGUGCAAUGGCCGCUAAAUCCUUUAGAGACGCUGGCAAUACCGUCCAAAGUCUAAUUGUUGGUAAAUGUUUAACGUCAAUUUUUAUUGCCGCUAAAGAGCAUAUUAAUUGCCGCGAAUAGACUUUUUUGUAGUAGUGGAAAGCAAGAAUAGAGAAAAAAAUCACCAAAAUUGAACAAAAUAAAGCGCACACCACAGACAACUUGGAACUAAAAUUGAGAAAUUUGAAAAAUAAAACCCUCAAUUACAGAUGCAUGGGACGCGCAACAUUUACCAACCAAGUACGAAGAAGACAUUUAAACAAAUACUUCAAUAAUGAUAAUCCUGGCAAGCCCAAAAAAAAAAAACCACCGAGAUCCAUAAAAACCAACUUUGAAGGAGAAGGUACAAUACGAAUACUUUCGAUUAAAGGAUAAAUAAAAAAAGAGCAGUGAAAUUGGUAUCAAAGCAAGGAAGAGCUUAAAUAAUUUAGAACAACCUCAUAGAUUACAGUGAAAACAAAAUCAUUACUCACUUAACCACUUGACAGAAGAUGAAGCAGAACACCAUACAGAGAAAUAAAGAAGAUGAAAUGACCAGAAUAUCUUUUAGUAGGCGAGACGACGCCUCUUCUUACGCAAAGACCUUCGACUAACCAAUGAUAUCAGGAAUAAAAUCACAAAGAAGCUUACCCUUUCACCUGAGAAUCUUGCGGAGCAGCAACACACGACUUCGAAUUUCAGAGUUCUGCAGCAAAAAACUUGCAAUUUCGAAAGUUUUCUUCUAUUUUUCAGACAUUAACCCUAGAUUCACGCCCAUUUUUUUUUGUAUUUGAAGUGAAAAACUCACAUUGUUGAAGAAUAUUGAGAGUGAGAGCCUGUCUGAUAGAGAGGAGAGAAAGUGGGUGUGUUGCCCUAAUUGUAUUGAGAGUGGGAGUCUGAUAGAGAGAAGUGAGCGUGUUGUCCUAAUUUUAUUUUUAGGACAAAAUUUUAGCGACGAAAUUGGCGAUGGAUCAAAUUUCUGUCGCUAAUAAUAACUAAUGAAAUUUUAUUUUAAUGGAACUAGAUUUUUAGCAACGGAA
This 6924-nucleotide long non-coding RNA is filed under the name Nicotiana tabacum (common tobacco). Its description in RNAcentral is "long non-coding RNA (NTAB_LNC019418)". The record is from RNAcentral. Lineage: Eukaryota; Viridiplantae; Streptophyta; Magnoliopsida; Solanales; Solanaceae.